UGAAAACGUUUUACAAUUAAUAUGUUCUUAAAUUUCCCUAAACUAAAAAAGAAUGGCCAGAAUAAACUGCUCCCCUUUAAGAACUGGAUUAUAUCCAAGGGAGUUCCUUUAUUUUGGAAGGAGAUUAUUCUUUUUCAUUUUAAGGAAAAAAACUAUUUAAGGAGGAAGAACAAGA
Molecule: small RNA, 175 nt
Filed under: Streptococcus pantholopis
Lineage: Bacteria; Bacillati; Bacillota; Bacilli; Lactobacillales; Streptococcaceae
Description: Streptococcus sRNA SSRC34
Rfam family: Streptococcus sRNA SSRC34
About the family: It is based on computationally predicted coordinates (RNAz).
Source: Rfam by way of RNAcentral